GGGUUGUGAGGUUAAGCGACUAAGCGUACACGGUGGAUGCCCUGGCAGUCAGAGGCGAUGAAGGACGUGCUAAUCUGCGAUAAGCGUCGGUAAGGUGAUAUGAACCGUUAUAACCGGCGAUUUCCGAAUGGGGAAACCCAGUGUGUUUCGACACACUAUCAUUAACUGAAUCCAUAGGUUAAUGAGGCGAACCGGGGGAACUGAAACAUCUAAGUACCCCGAGGAAAAGAAAUCAACCGAGAUUCCCCCAGUAGCGGCGAGCGAACGGGGAGCAGCCCAGAGCCUGAAUCAGUGUGUGUGUUAGUGGAAGCGUCUGGAAAGGCGCGCGAUACAGGGUGACAGCCCCGUACACAAAAAUGCACAUGCUGUGAGCUCGAUGAGUAGGGCGGGACACGUGGUAUCCUGUCUGAAUAUGGGGGGACCAUCCUCCAAGGCUAAAUACUCCUGACUGACCGAUAGUGAACCAGUACCGUGAGGGAAAGGCGAAAAGAACCCCGGCGAGGGGAGUGAAAAAGAACCUGAAACCGUGUACGUACAAGCAGUGGGAGCACGCUUAGGCGUGUGACUGCGUACCUUUUGUAUAAUGGGUCAGCGACUUAUAUUCUGUAGCAAGGUUAACCGAAUAGGGGAGCCGAAGGGAAACCGAGUCUUAACUGGGCGUUAAGUUGCAGGGUAUAGACCCGAAACCCGGUGAUCUAGCCAUGGGCAGGUUGAAGGUUGGGUAACACUAACUGGAGGACCGAACCGACUAAUGUUGAAAAAUUAGCGGAUGACUUGUGGCUGGGGGUGAAAGGCCAAUCAAACCGGGAGAUAGCUGGUUCUCCCCGAAAGCUAUUUAGGUAGCGCCUCGUGAAUUCAUCUCCGGGGGUAGAGCACUGUUUCGGCAAGGGGGUCAUCCCGACUUACCAACCCGAUGCAAACUGCGAAUACCGGAGAAUGUUAUCACGGGAGACACACGGCGGGUGCUAACGUCCGUCGUGAAGAGGGAAACAACCCAGACCGCCAGCUAAGGUCCCAAAGUCAUGGUUAAGUGGGAAACGAUGUGGGAAGGCCCAGACAGCCAGGAUGUUGGCUUAGAAGCAGCCAUCAUUUAAAGAAAGCGUAAUAGCUCACUGGUCGAGUCGGCCUGCGCGGAAGAUGUAACGGGGCUAAACCAUGCACCGAAGCUGCGGCAGCGACGCUGAUGCGUUGUUGGGUAGGGGAGCGUUCUGUAAGCCUGCGAAGGUGUGCUGUGAGGCAUGCUGGAGGUAUCAGAAGUGCGAAUGCUGACAUAAGUAACGAUAAAGCGGGUGAAAAGCCCGCUCGCCGGAAGACCAAGGGUUCCUGUCCAACGUUAAUCGGGGCAGGGUGAGUCGACCCCUAAGGCGAGGCCGAAAGGCGUAGUCGAUGGGAAACAGGUUAAUAUUCCUGUACUUGGUGUUACUGCGAAGGGGGGACGGAGAAGGCUAUGUUGGCCGGGCGACGGUUGUCCCGGUUUAAGCGUGUAGGCUGGUUUUCCAGGCAAAUCCGGAAAAUCAAGGCUGAGGCGUGAUGACGAGGCACUACGGUGCUGAAGCAACAAAUGCCCUGCUUCCAGGAAAAGCCUCUAAGCAUCAGGUAACAUCAAAUCGUACCCCAAACCGACACAGGUGGUCAGGUAGAGAAUACCAAGGCGCUUGAGAGAACUCGGGUGAAGGAACUAGGCAAAAUGGUGCCGUAACUUCGGGAGAAGGCACGCUGAUAUGUAGGUGAAGUCC
This 1736-nucleotide ribosomal RNA is filed under the name Escherichia coli. RNAcentral describes it as "partial 23S ribosomal RNA". It matches the Rfam family "Bacterial large subunit ribosomal RNA", at positions 1 to 1768 of the family's 2925-position model. The record is from RNAcentral. Lineage: Bacteria; Pseudomonadati; Pseudomonadota; Gammaproteobacteria; Enterobacterales; Enterobacteriaceae.